AAGGGUAUGGCUCAGAGGUAGAGCACAUGCUUAGCAUGCAUGAGGUCCUGGGUUCAAUCCCUAGUACCUCCU
This 72-nucleotide transfer RNA is filed under the name Camelus bactrianus (Bactrian camel). It matches the Rfam family "tRNA". From Rfam's summary of the family: Transfer RNA (tRNA) molecules are approximately 80 nucleotides in length. Their secondary structure includes four short double-helical elements and three loops (D, anti-codon, and T loops). Further hydrogen bonds mediate the characteristic L-shaped molecular structure. tRNAs have two regions of fundamental functional importance: the anti-codon, which is responsible for specific mRNA codon recognition, and the 3' end, to which the tRNAs corresponding amino acid is attached (by aminoacyl-tRNA synthetases). tRNAs cope with the degeneracy of the genetic code in two manners: having more than one tRNA (with a specific anti-codon) for a particular amino acid; and 'wobble' base-pairing, i.e. permitting non-standard base-pairing at the 3rd anti-codon position. The record is from Rfam by way of RNAcentral. RNAcentral also lists the same sequence under 2 other names. Lineage: Eukaryota; Metazoa; Chordata; Mammalia; Artiodactyla; Camelidae.